AAGAAAGUCAGGGUAGGGGAGAAGCCCUGGGAACCCAGGAAACAAAGCCAGGCCCGGUUGGCAGCUCCAUGCCGAGCCCUUUUGCCAAAUGUCCUACUGGGAAUUUUACCAGUGAAGGGAGGGAGUUAAUGCCACUCCGAGAGGAGGGGCCAGGCGGCCCUACCACCUCCCAGGUCCAGGAAUCAGUUUGCAAACAUAAAUGCUAAGGGGGCGUCCUGACAGCCUGUCUGGGAUCAGAGCUCAGGGGUCCUCCUUCCAACAAAGGCAAGGCAGCAGGUCCCACUCAGCCCCUUCCUAGACGCUUUGGAACCGCUCUGAAUGGAAACAUGACACCUCUCGAUGACCCCCUACAAACUCUGACCCGGGAUACAACUUUGUGCCUCGGGAUCCUGCAGAAGAUGACCCAGGGGUGCUAGACGCAGCGGCGAGGUUUGGAAAUCUGCAGAGACCAGAAUCGCCGGCCGCAGUGUGCCUUCGGCAUACGGCAAAGACACCCAGUGACCCUUCACCUCCCCCAGCCUCCAGCAAGAGGCCAGCAGCCAAGCUGAGCCUCCAACCCCAGGAGCCGAGCAUGCUGCCCCCGCGUGCAGCGCCCGCGUGCACCGGGCCGGGAGAGGGGGCGACAGGGCGGAGGCGGUGGCCCCCGGAAGGUGUCUGGGACCGGACCGGCUGCACGUGAGCCCAGCGCGAGGUCAUGUGCACCGGCUCAGCCCGGUUCGGCGCCCGGACGUGCUGCGUAUCAACAAAAUGAAACUCGGGGAGACAGGAGGGCAGAUAGCUCCAGGUUCUCGGAGCCCCCGCCCGGGCCGCUCGACCUCCCCACCGUACCCAUCUCCCGCCGCAGCCCCUACGCCCGGCCGGAGCCCGCGGGGAAGUUGCAGCCCUGGCGCGCCCCCGCCCGCCCGCGCCCCCUCGCCGGCCCGGGGGCGCUUUGCCGCAGUCAUUAAUAAAGAAGGUCGCCAAGCUCA
This 968-nucleotide long non-coding RNA is filed under the name Homo sapiens (human). Its description in RNAcentral is "HSALNT0329638". Lineage: Eukaryota; Metazoa; Chordata; Mammalia; Primates; Hominidae. The record is from RNAcentral.